RNAcentral lists this ribosomal RNA (402 nucleotides) under uncultured bacterium. RNAcentral's name for it is "bacterial SSU rRNA". It matches the Rfam family "Bacterial small subunit ribosomal RNA", at positions 355 to 774 of the family's 1533-position model. The record is from RNAcentral.
UGGGGAAUCUUGCACAAUGGGGGCAACCCUGAUGCAGCGACGCCGCGUGAGCGAUGAAGCCCUUCGGGGCGUAAAGCUCUUUCGACCGGAACGAUAAUGACGGUACCGGGAGAAGAAGCUGCGGCUAACUACGUGCCAGCAGCCGCGGUAAUACGUAGGCAGCAAGCGUUGUUCGGAGUUACUGGGCAUAAAGAGUGCGUAGGCGGUUUUCUAAGUUCGGUGUGAAAUCUCCCGGCUUAACUGGGAGGGUGCGCCGAAGACUGGGAAGCUGGAGUGUGGGAAAGGCAGGCGGAAUUCCUGGUGUAGCGGUGAAAUGCGUAGAUAUCAGGAGGAACACCGGCGGUGUAGACGGCUUGCUAGACCAUAACUGACGCUGAGGCACGAAAGCGUGGGUAGCAAACA